This 491-nucleotide ribosomal RNA is filed under the name Oxyrrhis marina. RNAcentral's name for it is "partial Bacterial large subunit ribosomal RNA". It matches the Rfam family "Bacterial large subunit ribosomal RNA", at positions 1 to 535 of the family's 2925-position model. The record is from RNAcentral. Lineage: Eukaryota; Dinophyceae; Oxyrrhinales; Oxyrrhinaceae.
GUCAAGCGAAUAAGCGUAUAUGGUGGAUGCCUUGGCAGUUAGAGGCGAUGAAGGACGUUGUAGUCUGCGAUAAGCCUGGGGGAGGUGACAAACAACCGUUAUAUCCCAGGAUUUCCGAAUGGGGAAACCCGACCUUAGGGUCAUCGUGCACUGAAUACAUAGGUGUACGAAGCUAACCCGGUGAACUGAACCAUCUAAGUAACCCGAGGAAAAGAAAUCAACCGAGAUUCCCUUAGUAGCGGCGAGCGAAAGGGGAAGAGCCAGCAAUCUUUAUGCUUAGUGUUAGAGGAACGGUCUGGAAAGUCCGGCGAUAGAAGGUGAUAGCCCUGUACUCGAAAACACUUUGCAAGAACUAGGUUUGCAACAAGUAGGUCGGAGCACGUGUAACUUUGACUGAACAUGGGGGGACCAUCCUCCAAGCCUAAGUACUCCUUUAUGACCGAUAGUGAACAAGUACCGUGAGGGAAAGGUGAAAAGCACCCCGAUGAGGG